Molecule: ribosomal RNA, 560 nt
Filed under: Stegastes adustus (dusky damselfish)
Lineage: Eukaryota; Metazoa; Chordata; Actinopteri; Pomacentridae
Description: partial 16S small subunit ribosomal RNA
Rfam family: Bacterial large subunit ribosomal RNA
Source: RNAcentral
UAAGAGGUCCUGCCUGCCCAGUGACCAUGUGUUCAACGGCCGCGGUAUUUUAACCGCGCGAAGGUAGCGUAAUCAUUUGUCUUUUAAAUGUAGACCUGUAUGAAUGGCGCGACGAGGGCUUAACUGUCUCCUUUUUCCAGUCAAUGAAAUUGAUCUCCCCGUGCAGAAGCGGAGAUGACCCCAUAAGACGAGAAGACCCUGUGGAGCUUUAGACACUAAGACAGACAAUAGUACCUCCCCACAAAGAGAUAAACCUAAUGAACUCCUGCCGUUAUGUCUUUGGUUGGGGCGACCUCGGAGAACCACAAAACCCCCGCGUGGAAUAGGAACAACUCACCUUUUUUACCACCCAAAACCAAGAGUCACCACUCUAAUUAACAGUACUUCUGACCAAUGAGGAUCCGGCUUAUGCCGAUCAACGGACCAAGUUACCCCAGGGAUAACAGCGCAAUCCUCUUCUAGAGUCCCUAUCGACAAGAGGGUUUACGACCUCGAUGUUGGAUCAGGGCAUCCUAAUGGCGCAGCCGCUAUUAAGGUUCGUUUGUUCAACGAUUAAAGCC